Molecule: long non-coding RNA, 549 nt
Filed under: Monodelphis domestica (gray short-tailed opossum)
Lineage: Eukaryota; Metazoa; Chordata; Mammalia; Didelphimorphia; Didelphidae
Description: lncRNA (ENSMODG00000041992.1)
Source: RNAcentral
UGGAUCAUGACCAAGUUUGAAGAGGAAAUGGAUCUCAUUUUUUGGCCUUUUCAGUUUCUUCAGAGAAGUGGGGAAAGUGGGGUCUGGAUUAAUGGACGAAAACAAACUGACGGCUGGACUUCCUGGCAGUUCCGACAGGGCUACUUAAGUCAGAUGAAUGGAGGCCACCCAGCACUCCUCAGCCCUGUGAGUGUUAGAAGCUGUCAGUGCGCUGGCUACAGUGUCAGACCACUCCUAAGAAGACGGAAGCUCUCACUGUCCAAAGCCGAGGCGCUCGUAAGGCUCUCUCUCGCUCACGGCCCUUCCAAGCAUUUGGCUCGGAUUUGUGAACUACGAAGCCCAAUCAGGGAAUGGACGGGAUAUUCUACAAUAAAAAUCCUCCUUGCUGGCCAAGACCAGCUUUCUGUUUUGGUCUUCCUAUACCCAGAUGUGGGGAAUAGACCGCGAUGUGUACAUAUACAUUUGUGUGCAAGUAUAUAUGUGUUGUGUGUGUGUGAGUGUGUGUGUGUGUGUGUGUGUGUAGGCCACGACUCCCCACCUUCACCCUGA